RNAcentral lists this ribosomal RNA (468 nucleotides) under uncultured bacterium. RNAcentral describes it as "partial 16S ribosomal RNA". It matches the Rfam family "Bacterial small subunit ribosomal RNA", at positions 28 to 507 of the family's 1533-position model. The record is from RNAcentral.
GACGAACGCUGGCGGCGUGCUUAACACAUGCAAGUCGAACGGAAAGGCCCUGCGUUUGUUGGUUGCUCGAGUGGCGAACGGGUGAGUAACACGUGAGUAACCUGCCCUUGACUUUGGGGUAUCUUCAGGAAACUGGGGCUCUUACCGGAUAGGAUCUCCUGCUGCAUGGUGGUGGUUGGAAAGUUUCGGCGGUUGGGGAUGGACUCGCGGCUUAUCCGCUGGUUUGUGGGGUAGUUGCUUACCAAGGCUUUGACGGGUAGCCGGCCUGAGAGGGUUAACGGCCACAUUGGGACUGAGAGACGGCCCAGACGGCUACGGGACGCAGCAGGGGGGAAUAUUGCACAAUGGGGGGAAGCCUGAUGCAGCAACGCCGCGUGCGGGAUGACGGCCUUCGGGUUGUAAACCGCUUUCGAAUGUGACGAAGCGUGAGUGACGGUAAUGGGUAAAGAAGCACCGGCUAACUACGUG